AGCGGACCGCCUGGGGAGUACGGCCGCAAGGCUAAAACUCAAAGGAAUUGACGGGGACCCGCACAACCGGUGGAGCGUGUGGUUCAAUUCGAGACAAGACGAAAAACCUCACCAGGGCUCGACAUAAUACCGUACAUUUCCCUAGAAAUAGGGAGAAAUCCGCAAGGAUGGUAUUACAGGUGCUGCAUGGCUGUCGUCAGCUCGUGCCGUGAGGUGUUCCCUUAAGUGGGGAAACGAGCGCAACCCCCGUCCAAUGUUGAAUAUUCAUUGGAGACGGUCCCGGUUUUACCGGGAAGGAAGGAGGGGAAGACGUCAAGUCAGCACGGCCCUUAUGCCCUGGGCUACACACACACUACAAUGGCGAAAAACAACGGGCUGCAAGCCGGUAACGGCUAGCUAAUCCCUUAAAUUUCG
RNAcentral lists this ribosomal RNA (414 nucleotides) under uncultured organism. RNAcentral describes it as "bacterial SSU rRNA". It matches the Rfam family "Bacterial small subunit ribosomal RNA", at positions 863 to 1285 of the family's 1533-position model. The record is from RNAcentral.